ACCCUUCGGGGGGAAGUCGAUGGAAUGAGCGGCGGACGGGUGAGUAACACGUAAAGAACCUGCCCUCAGGUCUGGGAUAACCACGAGAAAUCGGGGCUAAUACCGGAUGGGUCAUCGGACCGCAUGGUCCGAGGAUGAAAGGCGCUUCGGCGUCGCCUGGGGAUGGCUUUGCGGUGCAUUAGCUAGUUGGUGGGGUAAUGGCCCACCAAGGCGACGAUGCAUAGCCGACCUGAGAGGGUGAUCGGCCACACUGGGACUGAGACACGGCCCAGACUCCUACGGGAGGCAGCAGUAGGGAAUCUUCCACAAUGGACGAAAGUCUGAUGGAGCAACGCCGCGUGAACGAUGAAGGCCUUCGGGUCGUAAAGUUCUGUUGUAAGGGAAGAACAAGUGCCGCAGGCAAUGGCGGCACCUUGACGGUACCUUGCGAGAAAGCCACGGCUAACUACGUGCCAGCAGCCGCGGUAAUACGUAGGUGGCAAGCGUUGUCCGGAAUUAUUGGGCGUAAAGCGCGCGCAGGCGGCC
RNAcentral lists this ribosomal RNA (525 nucleotides) under Exiguobacterium mexicanum. RNAcentral's name for it is "bacterial SSU rRNA". It matches the Rfam family "Bacterial small subunit ribosomal RNA", at positions 75 to 580 of the family's 1533-position model. The record is from RNAcentral. Lineage: Bacteria; Bacillati; Bacillota; Bacilli; Caryophanales.